Long non-coding RNA from Dicentrarchus labrax (European seabass), 270 nucleotides. RefSeq lists it as uncharacterized. The record is from RefSeq and is a predicted model, not a curated record. NCBI's taxonomy places the organism in Eukaryota, Metazoa, Chordata, Actinopteri, Moronidae. The transcript is spliced from 3 exons.
GCCCAGUGGCCUUCAAGCUUUUCAUACUGCAAUAAUAAUUUGCUUAAAAAGCAGGUGUCUCAUCACUACCAUGGAUGUGAGAGACUAAGGGAUCCAAGCGAGGCUCAGAGAAUCAGAAGUGACACACACCAUGCAUUGUAAACAAAAAAAGCAAGGCCACAGCAUCAUUGAUGGAAAGCACCUGGAACCCAGUCCAGCCAGCAUCACCCAGAGCUGCAGCACCAGCAGUUUAAGACUUGCACUUUCUGGAGUUUCAGUUCAACUUGCCAG